This 576-nucleotide ribosomal RNA is filed under the name uncultured bacterium. RNAcentral's name for it is "bacterial SSU rRNA". It matches the Rfam family "Bacterial small subunit ribosomal RNA", at positions 238 to 807 of the family's 1533-position model. The record is from RNAcentral.
GCAUUAGCUAGUUGGUGAGGUAACGGCCCACCAAGGCGACGAUGCAUAGCCGACCUGAGAGGGCGAACGGCCACAUUGGGACUGAGACACGGCCCAAACUCCUACGGGAGGCAGCAGUAGGGAAUUUUCGUCAAUGGGGGGAACCCUGAACGAGCAAUGCCGCGUGAGUGAAGACGGUCUUCGGAUUGUAAAGCUCUGUUGCGAGAGAAAAACGACACGGAUAGGGAAUGAUCCGUGGGUGAUGGUAUCUCGCCAGAAAGUCACGGCUAACUACGUGCCAGCAGCCGCGGUAAUACGUAGGUGGCGAGCGUUAUCCGGAAUGAUUGGGCGUAAAGGGUGCGUAGGCGGCCCGUUAAGUCUGGAGUCAAAGCCGGCAGCUCAACUGUCGUACGCUUUGGAAACUGGCGGGCUGGAGUGCAGAAGAGGGCGAUGGAACUCCAUGUGUAGCGGUAAAAUGCGUAGAUAUAUGGAAGAACACCAGUGGCGAAGGCGGUCGCCUGGUCUGCAACUGACGCUGAAGCACGAAAGCGUGGGGAGCAAAUAGGAUUAGAUACCCUGGUAGUCCACGCCGUAAAC